GGAGAAUUGCGAGAAUCCAACCCUAGUACGAGAGAACUGGGUUGGGAUAACCUAUGGUGUACCGAUUGUUAUGCCAAUAGCAGCGCCGGGUAGCUAAGUUUGUAUGGAAGAACUGCUGUGCCUCAGGAAAUCCUUCUCUAUACAAGUUCUUGGAUGAGGUUUUUGAAUAGAACUUUGAUAGGUGAGAGGUGUAAGCACCACGAGGUGUGAAGCAAUCUCGUACUAAACAAAACA
Molecule: non-coding RNA, 234 nt
Filed under: Capsicum annuum
Lineage: Eukaryota; Viridiplantae; Streptophyta; Magnoliopsida; Solanales; Solanaceae
Description: Bacterial large subunit ribosomal RNA
Rfam family: Bacterial large subunit ribosomal RNA
Source: Rfam by way of RNAcentral